AUGGAACAAUGUAGGCAAGGGAAGUCGGCAAAACGGAUCCGUAACUUCGGGAAAAGGAUUGGCUCUGAGGACUGGGCUCGGGGGUCCCGGCCCCGAACCCGUCGGCUGUCGGCGGAUUGCUCGAGCUGCUCACGCGGCGAGAGCGGGUCGCCGCGUGCCGGCCGGGGGACGGACCGGGAAUCGCCCCUUCGGGGGCUUUCCCCGAGCAUGAAACAGUCGACUCAGAACUGGUACGGACAAGGGGAAUCC
This 249-nucleotide ribosomal RNA is filed under the name Triticum aestivum (bread wheat). RNAcentral's name for it is "partial small subunit ribosomal RNA". It matches the Rfam family "Eukaryotic large subunit ribosomal RNA", at positions 1890 to 2135 of the family's 3401-position model. Lineage: Eukaryota; Viridiplantae; Streptophyta; Magnoliopsida; Poales; Poaceae. The record is from RNAcentral.